AACAAAACAACCUCCUCCCAUCUCUUUCUGAUAACAAUAUCAAAAAAGCCUUUAUGGCUUAGAGAUACUUGAGAAUAUUGCCGCUGACUACAGGUGGUGAAGAAAAAAUCAGUACACUUAAUGAUGAGAACGUUUUUUCAAGGUUUCUUCACUUGGCUGCUGAAGAGCUUGUUUGUAUCUCUAUGGAUUCUAUUCACAUUAUGCAGUUGGACCAGCAGCAAUAACUGUAGCAACAAUAUGUCUAUCAAGAACUGAGGAAUCAGCAGAAAAAGAAACAGCAAAAGCCAGUUAUUCAUCAUAAUCAUUGUCAUUAGCAGAAACAAAAGAUCCAGAAUGAAUUCCUACAGUGCUCAUUUCUUCUAAAUAGCCAGUAUUUUGGAUGAGCAGUUUGUUGGUUUUGUAAGGCUUCCUGAUUUACUUAGAGGAAGAAAAGCGAAUCUAUUUUAGG
RNAcentral lists this long non-coding RNA (448 nucleotides) under Numida meleagris (helmeted guineafowl). RNAcentral describes it as "lncRNA (ENSNMEG00000021234.1)". The record is from RNAcentral. Lineage: Eukaryota; Metazoa; Chordata; Aves; Galliformes; Numididae.